AAGAAUAUCGAUAUUCUCGAUUAAUAUCGACAACGUUACACCCCUACCGUAAAAAGUAAAUAAAUAAUCUUUGAACAGUGAAAAGUAAAAAAUCCUCAGCAGUAAAUCUAUGCCUACAUAAUUGUAACAAUCUAACGUUAUGAAUUAUUAGUAAUAAGUAUUGCCAAAAAUCAGUUUAUGCACGUUCUAAAGUGGCAAUUAUUGAAAACUUCAUAGAAAAACAAAAAAACUCACAAGAAACGACAAGCAGGUGUGAAGGCUGACAGGAAAAAGAGAAAAACAAAAUCAUCUGAAAAAAAAACUGAGAAUGUUAGAGCAUUUGCAAUCACAAAAGCAAACGAUUCCAACAUAAGGAAGAUAUUUUUUAACUGAAAAACAGCUUAUUCCCCGAUAGAUAAAACACCGGAAGAACCUGCUCUGUUUUGAUCGCCGUCGUUAGGCCUCGUUGAAAAAUUUGAUAAAGAAAUCACAAAAUUAGGUCUUGCUCGGCCUUUAACACACUUAGUAUACUGUACACCCGUUCUCGAUCGCGUUGCAGCUUAUAUUAACUAACCAUGUCUUGACAGCACGGGCAGUAGCAGAUACAAAAUUUUCAUCCAAAAUUAGGUAGAAAAAAUCCUUUCGAGCAGCAAAAACUGUUGAUGAAAGAGAUCGAAGGAAACUACCAAUUUCAUUGGUAAAUACUACCUAAAACAUUUCACUCAGAAAAAGGUAUGCCGUAUUUAUCCUUCAUGUAGGUAAUUUCUACCAAUUUCGCUAGUUCGAAAUUACUCAUAAUCGAUGUUGGCUUAGGCGAACUCAGAAACUGGUAGUCUUUGUACUCAUAAUUAUGUAGCUUCAUUUAACCGUGUGCGUGUUCGUAAUAUGCGAACC
Molecule: long non-coding RNA, 873 nt
Organism: Wyeomyia smithii (pitcher-plant mosquito)
Lineage: Eukaryota; Metazoa; Arthropoda; Insecta; Diptera; Culicidae
Exons: 3
Source: RefSeq, a predicted model, not a curated record